Molecule: RNA transcript, 5957 nt
Organism: Physeter macrocephalus (sperm whale)
Lineage: Eukaryota; Metazoa; Chordata; Mammalia; Artiodactyla; Physeteridae
Gene: ABCC1
Gene name: ATP binding cassette subfamily C member 1 (ABCC1 blood group)
Exons: 37
Source: RefSeq, a predicted model, not a curated record
CUGAUGUGUCAGCAAAUCCUGUUGCCUGUUCCUUCAGAAUGCCUGCUUCUCACUGCCUCUCCAGCUACUGCUCCGGCCAGAGCCACCACGGGCUCAAUCCUGCCUUUGGAUGUUCCCGCCUCAGUGCGUUCCCUGCUGCCCUCCUUGGCCCCUACAGUCUGGUCUCAACCCCGCAGCCAGAGGGCUCCUGUUAAAGACAGAGGAGUGGAAUGUCACGUGGAACACCAGCAGCCCCGACUUCACCAAGUGCUUUCAGAACACCGUCCUCGUGUGGGUGCCUUGCUUUUACCUUUGGGCCUGCUUCCCCUUCUACUUCCUCUAUCUCUCCCGCCAUGACCGGGGCUACAUUCAGAUGACACAUCUCAACAAAGCCAAAACUGCCUUGGGAUUUUUGCUAUGGAUCGUCUGCUGGGCAGACCUCUUCUACUCUUUCUGGGAAAGAAGUUUGGGCAAGCUCCUGGCCCCAGUGUUUCUGGUCAGCCCAACCCUCUUGGGCAUCACCAUGCUGCUUGCUACCUUUUUAAUUCAGAUCGAGAGAAGGAGGGGAGUCCAGUCCUCAGGGAUCAUGCUCACUUUCUGGCUUAUAGCCCUACUGUGUGCCCUGGCCAUCCUGAGAUCCAAAAUCAUGACUGCCUUAAAAGAGGACGCCCAAGUCGACGUCUUUCGCGAUGUCACUUUCUACAUUUACUUUGCCCUCGUGCUGAUCCAGCUUGUGCUGUCCUGCGUCUCAGACCGCUCACCCCUGUUCUCCGAAACCAUCCACGAUCCCAAUCCUUGCCCAGAAUCCAGCGCCUCCUUCCUUUCCAGGAUCACCUUCUGGUGGAUCACAGGGAUGAUGGUCCAGGGCUACCGCCAGCCCCUGGAGAGCACUGACCUCUGGUCCCUGAAUAAGGAGGACAUGUCAGAACAAGUUGUGCCCGUUUUGGUAAAGAACUGGAAGAAGGAAUGUGCAAAAUCCAGAAAACAGCCGGUGAAGAUCGUGUACUCCUCCAAGGAUCCCGCCAAGCCGAAAGGGAGUUCCAAGGUGGAUGUGAACGAGGAGGCCGAGGCUUUGAUUGUCAAGUCCCCUCAGAAGGAUUGGAAACCGUCCCUGUUCAAGGUGUUAUACAAGACCUUUGGGCCCUACUUCCUCAUGAGCUUCUUGUUCAAGGCUGUGCACGACCUGAUGAUGUUUACCGGCCCAGAGAUCUUAAAGUUGCUCAUCAGCUUCGUGAACGACAGGAAGGCCCCAGACUGGCAGGGCUACUUCUACACGGCGCUGCUGUUCAUCAGCGCCUGCCUGCAGACCCUCGUGCUGCACCAGUACUUCCACAUCUGCUUCGUCAGCGGCAUGCGGAUCAAGACCGCCGUCAUCGGGGCUGUGUACCGGAAGGCCCUGGUGAUCACCAAUUCAGCCAGAAAAUCGUCCACUGUCGGGGAGAUCGUCAACCUCAUGUCUGUGGACGCCCAGAGGUUCAUGGACCUGGCCACGUACAUUAACAUGAUCUGGUCAGCCCCUCUGCAAGUCAUCCUUGCCCUCUACCUCCUGUGGCUGAACCUGGGCCCCUCCGUUCUGGCUGGAGUGGCUGUGAUGAUCCUCAUGGUUCCCCUCAAUGCAGUGAUGGCCAUGAAGACCAAGACCUACCAGGUGGCCCACAUGAAGAGCAAAGACAAUCGGAUUAAGCUGAUGAAUGAAAUUCUCAAUGGGAUCAAAGUGCUAAAGCUUUACGCCUGGGAGCUGGCAUUCAAAGACAAGGUACUGGCCAUCAGGCAGGAGGAGCUGAAGGUGCUGAAGAAAUCUGCCUACCUGGCCGCCGUGGGGACCUUCACCUGGGUCUGCACGCCUUUCUUGGUGGCCUUGUGUACGUUUGCCGUCUACGUGACCGUCGACAAGAACAACAUCCUGGAUGCCCAGAAGGCCUUCGUGUCCUUGGCCUUGUUCAACAUCCUUCGCUUCCCCCUGAAUAUUCUCCCCAUGGUCAUCAGCAGCAUCGUGCAGGCGAGUGUCUCCCUCAAGCGCCUCAGGAUCUUCCUCUCCCACGAGGAGCUGGAGCCCGACAGCAUCCAGCGAUGGCCCAUCAAAGACGCUGGGGCCACAAACAGCAUCACCGUGAAGAAUGCCACGUUCACUUGGGCCAGGAGCGACCCUCCCACGCUGCAUGGCAUCACUUUCUCCAUUCCGGAAGGUUCCCUGGUGGCCGUGGUGGGCCAGGUGGGCUGUGGGAAGUCGUCUCUGCUCUCAGCGCUCUUGGCUGAGAUGGACAAGGUGGAGGGACACGUGGCUAUCAAGGGUUCAGUGGCCUACGUCCCCCAGCAGGCCUGGAUUCAGAAUGUUUCUCUCCGAGAAAACAUCCUUUUUGGACGCCAGCUACAGGAACGGUAUUAUAAGGCUGUGAUAGAAGCCUGUGCCCUCCUCCCAGACCUGGAAAUCCUGCCCAGUGGGGACCGGACAGAGAUUGGUGAGAAGGGCGUGAACCUGUCUGGCGGCCAGAAGCAACGUGUGAGCCUGGCCCGGGCCGUGUAUUGCGACUCCGACAUCUACCUCUUUGAUGAUCCCCUCUCUGCAGUGGACGCCCACGUGGGGAAGCACAUAUUUGAAAACGUGGUUGGCCCCAAGGGGAUGCUGAAGAACAAGACGCGGAUCCUGGUCACGCACGGCAUCAGCUACCUGCCCCAGGUGGAUGUGAUAAUCGUCAUGAGUGGUGGCAAGAUCUCCGAGAUGGGCUCCUACCAGGAGCUGCUGGCCCGGGACGGGGCCUUUGCGGAGUUCCUGCGCACGUACGCCAGCGCCGAUCAGGAGCAGGGGGAGCCCGACGACGGCACCAAUGUGAUGGAUGAGGAGGAAGGCUUAGCAGGUGUUGGCAGGCCAGGGAAGGAGGUGAAGCAGGUGGAGAACGGCAUGUUGGUGACGGACGCUGUGGGGAAGCAACUGCAGAGACAGCUCAGCAGCUCCUCCUACAGUGGGGACGUCAGCCGGCACCACACCAGCACCGCGGAGCUGCAGAAGCCCAGGCCCGUGGAGGAGGACACCUGGAAGCUGAUGGAGGCAGACAAGGCUCAGACUGGGCAGGUCAAGCUCUCCGUGUACUGGGACUACAUGAAGGCGAUAGGACUUUUCAUCUCCUUUCUGAGCAUCUUCCUUUUCCUGUGUAACCACGUUGCUUCUCUGGCCUCUAACUAUUGGCUCAGUCUCUGGACUGAUGACCCCAUCGUCAAUGGGACCCAGGAGCACACGAAAGUCCGGCUGAGCAUCUAUGGAGCCCUGGGCAUUUCUCAAGGUAUCACGGUGUUCGGCUACUCCAUGGUGGUGUCCGUUGGGGGCAUCUUCGCCUCGCGCCGCCUGCACCUGGACCUGCUGCAUAACGUCCUCAGGUCGCCCAUGAGCUUCUUCGAGCGGACCCCCAGCGGGAACCUGGUGAACCGCUUCUCCAAGGAGCUGGACACGGUGGACUCGAUGAUCCCGCAGGUCAUCAAGAUGUUCAUGGGCUCCCUGUUCAAUGUCAUUGGCGCCUGCAUCAUCAUCCUGCUGGCCACUCCCAUGGCGGCCGUCAUCAUCCCGCCCCUGGGCCUCAUCUACUUCCUUGUCCAGAGGUUCUACGUGGCCUCCUCCCGGCAGCUGAAGCGCCUCGAGUCGGUCAGCCGCUCGCCGGUUUAUUCCCACUUCAACGAGACCUUGCUGGGGGUCAGCGUCAUCCGCGCCUUCGAGGAACAGGAGCGCUUCAUCCGCCAGAGCGACCUGAAGGUGGACGAGAACCAGAAGGCCUAUUACCCCAGCAUCGUGGCCAACAGGUGGCUGGCUGUGCGGCUGGAGUGUGUAGGCAACUGCAUUGUCCUGUUUGCCGCCCUGUUUGCAGUGAUCUCCCGGCACAGUCUCAGUGCUGGCUUGGUGGGCCUCUCAGUGUCUUACUCACUGCAGGUCACCACAUACUUGAACUGGCUUGUUCGGAUGUCGUCCGAGAUGGAGACCAACAUUGUGGCCGUGGAGAGACUCAAGGAGUAUUCAGAGACUGAGAAGGAGGCUCCCUGGCGAAUCCAGGAGAUGGCACCCCCCAGCAACUGGCCCCAGGUGGGCCGAGUGGAGUUCCGAGACUAUGGCCUGCGUUACCGAGAGGACCUGGACCUGGUUCUCAAACACAUCAACGUCACCAUCGAUGGAGGGGAGAAGGUUGGCAUCGUGGGGCGGACAGGAGCCGGGAAGUCAUCCCUGACCCUGGGAUUGUUUCGGAUCAACGAGUCUGCCGAGGGAGAGAUCAUCAUUGACGAUGUCAACAUUGCCAAGAUCGGCCUGCAUGACCUCCGCUUCAAGAUCACCAUCAUCCCCCAGGACCCCGUUUUGUUUUCGGGUUCCCUCCGCAUGAACCUGGACCCAUUCAGCCAGUAUUCGGACGAAGAGGUUUGGACGUCUCUGGAGCUGGCCCACCUGAAGGGCUUCGUGUCGGCCCUCCCCCAUAAGCUGAACCACGAGUGCGCAGAAGGCGGGGAGAACCUCAGCGUUGGGCAGCGCCAGCUUGUGUGCCUGGCCCGGGCCCUGCUGAGGAAGACGAAGAUCCUUGUGUUGGAUGAGGCCACGGCGGCUGUGGACCUGGAAACGGACAACCUCAUUCAGUCCACCAUCCGGACGCAGUUUGACGACUGUACCGUCCUCACCAUUGCUCACCGGCUCAACACCAUCAUGGACUACACAAGUACUGCUCUAGGGAGAAAAACAGUCUCAAGACUUUAAUUUCUUGGGAGGAAGUACUGGGCCAAGGAGCAGCAUCCCAGGGAAUGGCCAAGUUGGCUCAGCAUCUGGUGGUUGGUCCCUGUGUUCCUGGAAGGAAACGGGCAAGUGGGGUCCUUUCUUCAAAGCCCUUUAGGUCCCUUGAUUGGAGACCAAAGUGAGACCCAAAAAGCAAAGAGUGGUCACAGCUGCCCCAAGAUUCAUGCUCGCUAUGUGAAUUACAUUGCUGACUUCAAGCCAGAGAAGCAUCUUUCUUCUUUUAGGUGGAAAUACAUAUUUAUUUUUUCGAAGGUUCCUGCCAUCUCUCCAGGAGUCGGGAUGGGGCACCCUCUCAUCUGCUGCUGUUCUUUCUCCUUGGCGAGCAUGUUGUUUCUAGCGGGACCUCUUGGAAUUGGGAACCUAGAGAUUAAGAAUCAGAUGGAAAGCUGAGACCAAGACAUGCAGUGACUUGUCCAAGGUCGGCCAUGGCAAAGCAAGGAACUGAGCCCAUGCAAACUGGAUAAGUAUGUGGAACAUUCAGCACCUCACCCAGCACAUAGUAGGUGUUCAACUAAUGAUAGAGAAAGAAGAAAGAAGUUGGGGUGAUGCCUCUUCAUCUGGGACACCAAGAUGGAGGAACCAGGAUUUGACCUCGUCUCAGACCCUACCCUCUUAACCAUUACUGCCACCUUGGCUGUGACUGCAGUCUGCAGUGGUGGGGACUCUAAAGCCAGUGGCGGAUGUCAACAUGGGUCCACCGUCCUCUGCUGUAAGUCCUGGAUGGUGCCCGCUCCCCCUCCAUCUCUUGCCCAUCACCUCCUUGGGCGUCUGGGCGUAGUCCUUCAAUCGUUCCACCGACACGAUGCUGCUCUCCAGGUCUGUCCAGCUGCGAACAGCCCACUGCAGCGUCUGGGUCACCUGAUUCGAGAAGACACCUCAGGACAACUUCAGCAAGGCCACCCCACAGUUGAACUGGAAUAUAUGGACCAGAAAGGAGCCCUCGGACAUCAGCUUAUCCAACCCUUCUUGAAACAGUGAGUCUUUAUAGUAUCUGAAGUAGAGGAAUUACUGCCCAUUUUUCAGAAGAGCACACCGAGGCUCCGAGAGGGAAGAAGAGUCUCGCCCGAGGUCCAGCCUAGGCUCUUGCAGAGCCGUGUCUUCCUCACUGGUUGGUAGUUUGGACUCAGGUCCUUGAAGGUGCCACUGGCAGAGGUCUGUGUCCAUUCUGCCCGCACCCCAGAGCCCAGGUUGGGGUGUCAGAAGUACCUGCAGGGCGGCC